This 793-nucleotide ribosomal RNA is filed under the name uncultured Pelagibacteraceae bacterium. Its description in RNAcentral is "bacterial SSU rRNA". It matches the Rfam family "Bacterial small subunit ribosomal RNA", at positions 40 to 881 of the family's 1533-position model. The record is from RNAcentral. Lineage: Bacteria; Pseudomonadati; Pseudomonadota; Alphaproteobacteria; Candidatus Pelagibacterales; Candidatus Pelagibacteraceae.
CGGCACGCCUAACACAUGCAAGUCGAACGAAGUAGCAAUACUUAGUGGCAGACGGGUGAGUAACAUGUAGGUAUCUGCCCUUUGGCCUGGAAUAACACGAGGAAACUUGUGCUAAUACCGGAUAAGUCUUUACGGAGAAAGCUUUAUGCACCAUUGGAUGAGCCUGCACUUGAUUAGUUUGUUGGUGGGGUAAUGGCCUACCAAGACUGUGAUCAAUAGCUGAUUUGAGAGGAUGAUCAGCCACAUUGGGACUGAGACACGGCCCAAACUCCUACGGGAGGCAGCAGUGGGGAAUCUUGCACAAUGGAGGAAACUCUGAUGCAGCGAUGCCGCGUGAGUGAAGAAGGCCUUUGGGUUGUAAAGCUCUUUCGUCGGGGAAGAAAAUGACUGUACCCGAAUAAGAAGGUCCGGCUAACUUCGUGCCAGCAGCCGCGGUAAUACGAAGGGACCUAGCGUAGUUCGGAAUUACUGGGCUUAAAGAGUUCGUAGGUGGUUGAAAAAGUUGGUGGUGAAAUCCCAGAGCUUAACUCUGGAACUGCCAUCAAAACUUUUCAGCUAGAGUAUGAUAGAGGAAAGCAGAAUUUCUAGUGUAGAGGUGAAAUUCGUAGAUAUUAGAAAGAAUACCAAUUGCGAAGGCAGCUUUCUGGAUCAUUACUGACACUGAGGAACGAAAGCAUGGGUAGCGAAGAGGAUUAGAUACCCUCGUAGUCCAUGCCGUAAACGAUGUGUGUUAGACGUUGGAAAUUUAUUUUCAGUGUCGCAGCGAAAGCGAUAAACACACCGCCUGGGGAGU